UCCCCUGCCUGUAUUUCAACCCCGGUUCUCCACACCAUCCUCGCUUGAUUGUUGUUGCCCCUUACCUGGUUCACUCAUCCUCGUCCUCUGUUCAGUUGGCUGGGCUCCUCCUCCUGUCCUCUCCUCCCCAGACUUCCCCCCCCCCCCACAGCGUCCUUCCAGUUCCCCCUCGGCUCCCAGUGUUCCCUGGCUCUCUGGUCCCAGUCUCCUCGGUUUCCCCGUGCCAGGGUUUCCCCGGCAUCCACCUCUCCCUCCACUCCAGUCCCUCAAACCCUUUUCCCUCAAUAAACCUCCUUCGCUCUGAGCGCUGCAUUUCAGUCCUCUCUGUCACCACACCACCCGUAACAACGAACUGCUUGUGCAAAGUGCCAGUGCGCAGUGCAAGUCAUGUUACACCAAAGAUUAACAUGUAGAAGUGCUUGUACGGCAUACCGGUGGAUACUGGCCAACUUCAAGCGCUGUUUUUGGAUCCAAAUAUGCAAACUCUUAAACUAAAAGGCACAAUUGUUAGGGAAAAAAACUCAGAUCUUCUACUUAAAAAAUUUGUUAUAAGAGUUUGUGGUUGUAAUUUAGUUGAACAAAACAUUAAGCUUACAGAUAAUCAACCAUAAAAUUCCUCUUCAACAAAUCUCAUAGACAGCAGUUUGUGGCUUGCUGAGCCAACCCGACAGCAGCCCAUCUCCGCAACAACCCUGUCACAGAUCCACCAGGGAAAGGAAGAGCAUGUCACAACAGAUCAGCCAUUUGUUAAAGUCAGAGUCACACGCUAAUGGCAACAAUGUGUUUUCUCUCUCAGCAGGCGCCUCAGCAGCCAAUAGCCAUGUUUGCUCCUGGCUAGCUCCGCUCAUACCCUGCAAUUUUCCAAGGAUAACUGGGGAGGUUAUUUCCACGCAGAGGUCAAACACAAACAAAGGGACAUCAUUUGAAAGCUGUGAGCAGGUUCAGGAGGAGUUCAAGGGAAGCAGGGCAUCAUUUUCUCAAUUAGCCUUGCUGUAAGUACUUUUGCCAUGAUUGAGGCUUUUAGUUUUAAGCUCAAUGUUUAUUAUCUCUAUUAUGACUAAAUCAGAGCUGGUUUGACUAGUUCCUGUUGUCUAAUUUCUUGUUCCUUUGUGCAGGACUAAACUAUGCUUCAGGUGGUAGGUGUGCUUGCAUGUGUUUACUUGUGUCAGAGUAGAUUAGGUUUUUUGCAGACAUACAGUGUGGUGUUUUUAAUUAAGUAAAGCAUAGAAAGGGUUCUUUCAUCAUAUUGUUUUUGCAAGCAUGGCUAACGGAUGGCAUUAUCAUUCUGCCAGAUUAGGCUUGGGUGGUUUCUAUUUUUUCAUACCUUCCUGACAUUUCACCGGGGUUCACUAAAACAACAUAAAAGCUGAGCUGCUGGUAAUAGAAGUUAUUGUAGCAUUUAUGCCACUGUCUAGCCUACAAGAAUGAGUCUCUAAUAUGCAGUUAGCCUACUUCUUACUGGGUUUCACUUAUGGUUCUUAGAAUAAUGAAUAGAUAGGAAAUAUUUAUCCUUCACCCAUAGAUUCGUGCUGGAAGAUUUGAUGACAGAUGUUGCUGCAAAGGACGCUGACACAUCAGUGUGCUGAACAGAGAUGAUGUGCACACAGCUUUGUCCUAGUUGGCUAGCUUACCUUUAUCAUCAGUACUACACACAGAAUCCUCCCAAACAGGGACAAAAGCUUUUUCUUUGUUACUAGUCUUGUAAUGUUAUCCCCACUCCUCGCAGUCGCCAUCGAGUGAAUCCUUUUUGAUGUGCAUACUAAGUGUGUGGUUAAGCGAAAGUGGGCGUGCGGCAGGUGAAUGCAGUGCAGAAGAUACAAAAGGUGAGCAGUGAAGUUUGGCAGUAAAUGUACAGUGUAGGUUACAGUUUAUAUCAGUAUAUUAAGGCUGCAGCUAAAGCCCCCGUGUGUGUUUUUUACCAACUGAUGGGAAAGUGAACGGGGUUAUCAUGAUGUCACGUUGAAGUAAGGCAGUUUCACGCAGAGGCACCUGCCUACGUUGAGUGUACACUACAAUACAUCAGCUCAAUACAGCAUCUUAGUAUCAGUUUAAUAGAAAGAGGAGCAUCUGUAUUUUUGAUGGUAUUGAAAGCCAAACCGCCGGGAUUUCUAAAUACCCUGGUAUACUGUAAUACAAUGACAAAGAUUUUCAUGAAAUACCUUCAGAGAUGAAUGGACUACCAGAGAACAGCCAUGGUCCCCAGAGGAUGGAUCCUAAUCAUUUUGUUUGUACCUCCUGACUUUUCCUGUAGUGCCACCAGCCAGUCAAAGUUUUCACUUACCCAUUGUCAUAGAAUUUAGUGCAGAUAGUCAUGGUUCCCAAACACUGAAUUCUGCUGACUUUUCCCCUAACUUUUCCUUUGGUACCAUCACAAGGUUGAUUUAUGGUUUUGAGUGAAAUGUCUCGGUAAGUAUUUGAUAGAUUGCCAUUAAAGUGGUACAUUCAUGUCCCCCAUAGGAUGAAUCGGAGCAACUCAGACUUUUUAUGUGGAACCAUCAUUAAGUCAAGACAUUUGACUUUCCAUCAGCCUCAGCUGUACAGGAGCUAAAAACUUGUUGGUUAUGCCACAUUCCCUUUUGCUGUCCUUGCACCUAGACUUUGGAACAUCCCCCCCACCUACUUCUCUAGGUUAGCUUUUCUAUAAUUCCAAGACUGUGCUCUGGGUGGUGUAUGCCUUCUGUGGUUGUAUGUGCAUUGCAUUUGUAUGUAUUUUUUAAUGUUUUUCUCUUGUAUGAACUUUGUGCUUGAUGUUAAAUGUGUAAACCACUUUGCAAAAUUGUGUUACAAAGGUUCUUUAUCAUAAAGAUUCAUACUUACUAA
Long non-coding RNA from Micropterus salmoides (largemouth bass), 2820 nucleotides. RefSeq lists it as uncharacterized. The record is from RefSeq and is a predicted model, not a curated record. The transcript is spliced from 2 exons. Lineage: Eukaryota; Metazoa; Chordata; Actinopteri; Centrarchiformes; Centrarchidae.